GCCGAGGUAGCUCAGUUGGUAGAGCACACGGCUGAAAACCGUGGUGUCCGCAGUCCGAUUCUGCGCCUCGGCACCA
Molecule: transfer RNA, 76 nt
Filed under: Acidobacteriota bacterium
Lineage: Bacteria; Pseudomonadati; Acidobacteriota
Also listed under: 3 other names
Description: tRNA-Phe
Rfam family: tRNA
About the family: Transfer RNA (tRNA) molecules are approximately 80 nucleotides in length. Their secondary structure includes four short double-helical elements and three loops (D, anti-codon, and T loops). Further hydrogen bonds mediate the characteristic L-shaped molecular structure. tRNAs have two regions of fundamental functional importance: the anti-codon, which is responsible for specific mRNA codon recognition, and the 3' end, to which the tRNAs corresponding amino acid is attached (by aminoacyl-tRNA synthetases). tRNAs cope with the degeneracy of the genetic code in two manners: having more than one tRNA (with a specific anti-codon) for a particular amino acid; and 'wobble' base-pairing, i.e. permitting non-standard base-pairing at the 3rd anti-codon position.
Source: RNAcentral